RNAcentral lists this ribosomal RNA (443 nucleotides) under uncultured Clostridium sp. RNAcentral's name for it is "bacterial SSU rRNA". It matches the Rfam family "Bacterial small subunit ribosomal RNA", at positions 338 to 795 of the family's 1533-position model. Lineage: Bacteria; Bacillati; Bacillota; Clostridia; Eubacteriales; Clostridiaceae. The record is from RNAcentral.
CCUACGGGGGGCUGCAGUGGGGAAUAUUGCGCAAUGGGGGAAACCCUGACGCAGCAACGCCGCGUGAAGGAUGAAGGUUUUCGGAUCGUAAACUUCUUUGAUGGGGGACGAAAAAAAUGACGGUACCCCAAAAACAAGCCACGGCUAACUACGUGCCAGCAGCCGCGGUAAUACGUAGGUGGCGAGCGUUGUCCGGAAUUACUGGGUGUAAAGGGCGUGUAGGCGGGAAUUCAAGUCAGAUGUGAAAUGCCGAGGCUUAACUUCGGAGCUGCAUCUGAAACUGAGUUUCUUGAGUGUCGGAGAGGAAAGUGGAAUUCCCAGUGUAGCGGUGAAAUGCGUAGAUAUUGGGAGGAACACCAGUGGCGAAGGCGACUUUCUGGACGAUAACUGACGCUGAGGCGCGAAAGCGUGGGGAGCAAACAGGAUUAGAUACCCCUGUAGUC